Molecule: non-coding RNA, 85 nt
Organism: Felis catus (domestic cat)
Lineage: Eukaryota; Metazoa; Chordata; Mammalia; Carnivora; Felidae
Source: Rfam
GCCUGGGUGGCUCAGUCGGUUGAGCGUCCGACUUCAGCUCAGGUCACGAUCUCGCGGUCCGUGAGUUCGAGCCCCGCAUCGGGCU